RNAcentral lists this ribosomal RNA (814 nucleotides) under Onygenales sp. 795_3_Y01. RNAcentral describes it as "eukaryotic LSU rRNA". It matches the Rfam family "Eukaryotic large subunit ribosomal RNA", at positions 90 to 925 of the family's 3401-position model. Lineage: Eukaryota; Fungi; Ascomycota; Eurotiomycetes; Onygenales. The record is from RNAcentral.
CGAGUGAAGCGGUAACAGCUCAAAUUUGAAAUCUGGCCUCACGGCCCGAGUUGUAAUUUGUAGAGGAUGCUUCGAGCAUGGUCCGGCCUAAGUUCCUUGGAACAGGACGUCAUAGAGGGUGAGAAUCCCGUAUGCGGCCGGGUGCCUACGCUCAUGUGAAGCUCCUUCGACGAGUCGAGUUGUUUGGGAAUGCAGCUCAAAAUGGGUGGUAAAUUUCAUCUAAAGCUAAAUAUUGGCCAGAGACCGAUAGCGCACAAGUAGAGUGAUCGAAAGAUGAAAAGCACUUUGGAAAGAGAGUUAAACAGUACGUGAAAUUGUUGAAAGGGAAGCGCUUGCGACCAGACUUGCGUGCGGCCGAUCAUCCGGUGUUCUCACCGGUGCACUCGGCCGUGCUCAGGCCAGCAUCGGUUUCGGCGGCUGGAUAAAGGCCCUAGGAAUGUGGCUCCUCUCGGGGAGUGUUAUAGCCUAGGGUGCAAUGCAGCCCGCUGGGACCGAGGACCGCGCUUCGGCUAGGAUGCUGGCGUAAUGGUCGUAAGCGGCCCGUCUUGAAACACGGACCAAGGAGUCUAACAUCUAUGCGAGUGUUUGGGUGUCAAACCCAUACGCGUAAUGAAAGUGAACGGAGGUGAGAACCCUUAAGGGUGCAUCAUCGACCGAUCCUGAUGUCUUCGGAAGGAUUUGAGUAAGAGCAUAGCUGUUGGGACCCGAAAGAUGGUGAACUAUGCCUGAAUAGGGUGAAGCCAGAGGAAACUCUGGUGGAGGCUCGCAGCGGUUCUGACGUGCAAAUCGAUCGUCAAAUUUGGGUAUAGGGGCG